This 201-nucleotide unclassified non-coding RNA is filed under the name Hevea brasiliensis (rubber tree). The record is from RNAcentral. Lineage: Eukaryota; Viridiplantae; Streptophyta; Magnoliopsida; Malpighiales; Euphorbiaceae.
GGAGGUGACAAUCAUGUCGGAGUUGUCAAUUGGGGUUGCAAUAGCAGUGACCCAGUCAGUGUGGGCUUUCAUGGUACCGCGGAGGACUAGUGAUUCUUGCGACAUUUUCUCAGAUUGGUGGCGGCCGUCAGUGAAAUCACCUUUGGUGGCAGAGAAAGGAGAGGCGGAGAUGAAAAUGGAGAGAGAAUCACUAGUCCUCCG